AAAAAAAAACGAUAAUUGAAACCAAUUAUACACUUUUAACGGGCACUUAUCCAGUGCCCGGCUACAUUCAAAACUCAGGUAAUCAUGUCACUAAAAUUAAACCAUAUUGAAGAAGCUUGAAUAGAUAAACUGAUUAAUACCAUCACCCAUUGAGUUAGGGGGUAUAAUUACUCUACAUUCAUACAUCUGAAUUCUGAAAGCAUAAAUGCCUGAGAAAACAGGAUUUUGUGAACACCGACCAGCAACAAAAAUAACCAACUCUCCAUACAACGACUAGACGAGGAGUGAACCGGCAAAAUUAUCUGAAUCCAUAUAUUUGUACGAGAUGUGUGUGCUGGCACUCAAAGUACACAAUAAAGAAAAGCUAUUCUUUUUU
Molecule: unclassified non-coding RNA, 376 nt
Filed under: Hevea brasiliensis (rubber tree)
Lineage: Eukaryota; Viridiplantae; Streptophyta; Magnoliopsida; Malpighiales; Euphorbiaceae
Source: RNAcentral